UGGGAUGUUGGGUUAAGUCCCGCAACGAGCGCAACCCCCGUCCUUAGUUGCUACCAUUUAGUUGAGCACUCUAAGGAGACUGCCGGUGAUAAGCCGCGAGGAAGGUGGGGAUGACGUCAAGUCCUCAUGGCCCUUACGGGCUGGGCUACACACGUGCUACAAUGGCGGUGACAAUGGGAUGCAAAGGCGCAAGCCCCAGCAAAUCUCAAAAAGCCGUCUCAGUUCGGAUUGGGCUCUGCAACUCGAGCCCAUGAAGUUGGAAUCGCUAGUAAUCGUGGAUCAGCAUGCCACGGUGAAUACGUUCCCGGGCCUUGUACACACCGCCCGUCACACCAUGGGAGUUGGUUUUACCUGAAGACGGUGCGCUAACCGCAAGGAGGCAGCCGGCCACGGUAGGGUCAGCGACUGGGGUGAAGUCGUAACAAGGUAA
This 430-nucleotide ribosomal RNA is filed under the name uncultured Pseudomonadota bacterium. RNAcentral describes it as "bacterial SSU rRNA". It matches the Rfam family "Bacterial small subunit ribosomal RNA", at positions 1068 to 1499 of the family's 1533-position model. Lineage: Bacteria; Pseudomonadati; Pseudomonadota. The record is from RNAcentral.